RNAcentral lists this ribosomal RNA (484 nucleotides) under uncultured bacterium. RNAcentral's name for it is "partial 16S ribosomal RNA". It matches the Rfam family "Bacterial small subunit ribosomal RNA", at positions 30 to 507 of the family's 1533-position model. The record is from RNAcentral.
AUUGAACGCUGGCGGCAGGCCUAACACAUGCAAGUCGAGCGGAUGAAGGGAGCUUGCUCCUGGAUUCAGCGGCGGACGGGUGAGUAAUGCCUAGGAAUCUGCCUGGUAGUGGGGGAUAACGUCCGGAAACGGGCGCUAAUACCGCAUACGUCCUGAGGGAGAAAGUGGGUGAUCUUCGGACCUCACGCUCUCAGAUGAGCCUAGGUCGGAUUAGCUAGUUGGUGGGGUAAAGGCCUACCAAGGCGACGAUCCGUAACUGGUCUGAGAGGAUGAUCAGUCACACUGGAACUGAGACACGGUCCAGACUCCUACGGGAGGCAGCAGUGGGGAAUAUUGGACAAUGGGCGAAAGCCUGAUCCAGCCAUGCCGCGUGUGUGAAGAAGGUCUUCGGAUUGUAAAGCACUUUAAGUUGGGAGGAAGGGCAGUAAGUUAAUACCUUGCUGUUUUGACGGUACCAACAGAAUAAGCACCGGCUAACUUCGUG